RNAcentral lists this ribosomal RNA (253 nucleotides) under uncultured bacterium. RNAcentral describes it as "partial 16S ribosomal RNA". It matches the Rfam family "Bacterial small subunit ribosomal RNA", at positions 524 to 776 of the family's 1533-position model. The record is from RNAcentral.
UACGGAGGGUGCAAACGUUGCUCGGAAUCAUUGGGCGUAAAGCGCACGUAGGCGGGUUUUCAAGUCGGAUGUGAAAUCCCUCGGCUUAACCGAGGACGUGCAUUCGAAACUGUUGACCUUGAGUACGAAAGAGGAUCGCGGAAUUCCCGGUGUAGAGGUGAAAUUCGUAGAUAUCGGGAGGAACACCAGUGGCGAAGGCGGCGAUCUGGGUCGAUACUGACGCUGAGGUGCGAAAGCGUGGGGAGCAAACAGG